This 306-nucleotide ribosomal RNA is filed under the name uncultured bacterium. Its description in RNAcentral is "partial 16S ribosomal RNA". It matches the Rfam family "Bacterial small subunit ribosomal RNA", at positions 507 to 807 of the family's 1533-position model. The record is from RNAcentral.
GACAGCAGCAGCCACGGUAAUACGUAGGUGGCAAGCGUUGUCCGGAAUUAUUGGGCGUAAAGGGCUCGCAGGCGGUUUCUUAAGUCUGAUGUGAAAGCCCCCGGCUCAACCGGGGAGGGUCAUUGGAAACUGGGAAACUUGAGUGCAGAAGAGGAGAGUGGAAUUCCACGUGUAGCGGUGAAAUGCGUAGAGAUGUGGAGGAACACCAGUGGCGAAGGCGACUCUCUGGUCUGUAACUGACGCUGAGGAGCGAAAGCGUGGGGAGCGGACAGGAUUAGAUACCCGCGUAGUCCCUGUCUCUUAUAC